RNAcentral lists this ribosomal RNA (165 nucleotides) under uncultured bacterium. RNAcentral's name for it is "partial 16S ribosomal RNA". It matches the Rfam family "Bacterial small subunit ribosomal RNA", at positions 338 to 495 of the family's 1533-position model. The record is from RNAcentral.
CCUACGGGAGGCAGCAGUGGGGAAUAUUGGACAAUGGGCGCAAGCCUGAUCCAGCAAUGCCGCGUGUGUGAAGAAGGCCUGCGGGUUGUAAAGCACUUUCAGUAGGGAGGAAAAGCUUCAAGGUUAAUAACCCUGAGUCUUGACGUACCCACAGAAGAAGCACCG